Molecule: unclassified non-coding RNA, 657 nt
Filed under: Hevea brasiliensis (rubber tree)
Lineage: Eukaryota; Viridiplantae; Streptophyta; Magnoliopsida; Malpighiales; Euphorbiaceae
Source: RNAcentral
CCCAGAUGUCAGUACUUGUCCUUUGAUAUUCCUCGUAUCUGCACCCAGCAAUUCCUCACUUCUUUGUCUUCUUUCAUGAUUACAGAAAGCCAGUGUUGUGUCAAAAUCUUGUUGGAAAUACUUCAAUUGAGAAUUAUGGUUUGGCCCAUUUUGAAACCGCUCACAAGCAUCAGAUAGCGAGCCAUAGUGAUGCUGACGUUGCUGAUUAAGUUGAUGAUGCAACUCAGCAACUUUCUGCUUUAAUCUAGCCACAUCUGCUUCUGCCAGGGCUAUCUCUUCGAGCUCGGCCCUAGUCUUGGAAUCCAUAUCGCGAGUGCCCGAAAGUUGUCCAGAAGACAUACUCAAACCAACUUCCAGUGCAGCUCUUAGAUCCCUCUCAGCUUGUAGCUGUUCUUGAAGUCUUGCAACAUCUUGUUCAAGAGCCAAACGACGCUCAUGCAAGGCUUGCUUCCGUCUCUCCAAGCUCGCCUGCAGAAUUGCAUUUCCUCUUGCCUCCUUUGCAAUCCUAUGGCGCAAGUCAUUUUUUGUUAUCUCAAGUCUCUGUAUAGCAAGCUCUUCCUCUCCAGAAGAAUCAAUUGAUUCUGUUGAUGGAGUACUUCUACCAUUGCUUCUCCCCCAAAAUGUUGACCUUUUAACAUUCUGGUUAGAAGGUGUUAG